CCUACGGGUGGCAGCAGUGAGGAAUAUUGGUCAAUGGACGAGAGUCUGAACCAGCCAAGUAGCGUGAAGGAUGACUGCCCUAUGGGUUGUAAACUUCUUUUAUAUGGGAAUAAAAUGUUCCACGUGUGGGAUUUUGUAUGUACCAUAUGAAUAAGGAUCGGCUAACUCCGUGCCAGCAGCCGCGGUAAUACGGAGGAUACGAGCGUUAUCCGGAUUUAUUGGGUUUAAAGGGAGCGUAGGUGGAUUGUUAAGUCAGUUGUGAAAGUUUGCGGCUCAACCGUAAAAUUGCAGUUGAAACUGGCAGUCUUGAGUACAGUAGAGGUGGGCGGAAUUCGUGGUGUAGCGGUGAAAUGCUUAGAUAUCACGAAGAACUCCGAUUGCGAAGGCAGUUCACUGGACUGCAACUGACACUGAGGCUCGAAAGUGUGGGUAUCAAACAGGAUUAGAUACCCUUGUAGUC
This 460-nucleotide ribosomal RNA is filed under the name uncultured bacterium. Its description in RNAcentral is "partial 16S ribosomal RNA". It matches the Rfam family "Bacterial small subunit ribosomal RNA", at positions 338 to 795 of the family's 1533-position model. The record is from RNAcentral.